UAAGUCGUUAGGGAAACGUGGGUCUAAUACCGGAUAGGACCAUCGUUUAGUGUCGGUGGUGGAAAGUUUUUCGGUGUGGGAUGAGCUCGCGGCCUAUCAGCUUGUUGGUGGGGUAAUGGCCUACCAAGGCGUCGACGGGUAGCCGGCCUGAGAGGGUGUACGGCCACAUUGGGACUGAGAUACGGCCCAG
RNAcentral lists this ribosomal RNA (190 nucleotides) under uncultured Actinomycetales bacterium. Its description in RNAcentral is "partial 16S ribosomal RNA". It matches the Rfam family "Bacterial small subunit ribosomal RNA", at positions 143 to 334 of the family's 1533-position model. Lineage: Bacteria; Bacillati; Actinomycetota; Actinomycetes; Actinomycetales. The record is from RNAcentral.